GCGUCGGUGUUAUAAUGGUCAGCAUAGCUACCUUCCAAGCAUUUGAUUCGGGUUCGAUUCCCGGCUGACACA
RNAcentral lists this transfer RNA (72 nucleotides) under Caligus rogercresseyi. It matches the Rfam family "tRNA". Rfam says of the family: Transfer RNA (tRNA) molecules are approximately 80 nucleotides in length. Their secondary structure includes four short double-helical elements and three loops (D, anti-codon, and T loops). The record is from Rfam by way of RNAcentral. Lineage: Eukaryota; Metazoa; Arthropoda; Copepoda; Siphonostomatoida; Caligidae.